This 253-nucleotide ribosomal RNA is filed under the name uncultured bacterium. Its description in RNAcentral is "partial 16S ribosomal RNA". It matches the Rfam family "Bacterial small subunit ribosomal RNA", at positions 524 to 776 of the family's 1533-position model. The record is from RNAcentral.
UACGGGGGGGGCAAGCGUUGUUCGGAAUUACUGGGCGUAAAGGGCUCGUAGGCGGCCAACUAAGUCAGACGUGAAAUCCCUCGGCUUAACCGGGGAACUGCAUCUGAUACUGGAUGGCUUGAGAUUGGGAGAGGGAUGCGGAAUUCCAGGUGUAGCGGUGAAAUGCGUAGAUAUCUGGAGGAACACCGGUGGCGAAGGCGGCAUCCUGGACCGAUAUUGACGCUGAUGCGCGAAAGCCAGGGGAGCAAACGGG